UCUUGUUAUUGCUCCGGGAACACCCUCAACUCCCCUAUUCACAGUAAACUGUUUAGAUGGAGGAGGGUUCAACCACUACUCUUCUCUGAUAUAAGAGUGUACGUAGUUGUAUUGCUAGUACACAUGACCCAAACUACACACACGGAUCUGUCGAAGAUAACAGACAAUAAGAGAAGCUCUAUUAAGGCUCCUUCCAGCAUUCCUUAUAUAAGCUAGGAAACCUUAUCUUAUAGAAAGGACUGGUUCUUAUCACAAGUACCUCUUAUACCUAUACCUCUGUUUCAAGCUUUAUCAGGCCUUAGUCAGUCGAGGCACUCAGCGCUCCUAGUCUCCGACUGCGCUCCAACAUACGGAAUCUGACACAAUCGGACUCUUCCUUCGUGGGCUUAACUGAUAAACUCCCUCUCCCCAAAUAACAUCGAGGGCAGAAGUAGAGUUAUCAAGAUACUGUAUGAAUAAGGAUGAUUGACCUGUUUAGUAAAGAAGGUAAAGGUCUCCCUAAUCUGACCCUUUAUAAAGAUCAAUAAGAACACUGUUCACAAGCUCACUCUCAUAGAUCCUUAACAGGAUCAGAUUAAGGAAACCCUUACCUUCUUUCCUAAUCAUUAACGAAGCUGGAAGACCUGAUAAAGCUAAACAACUCUUAUGUUGUCUUAUCUUUGAGGAGUGAGUCUUGAGCCUCAGCUUCUUAGUAACUAGUGUUAAGGAGAGUUAUAAACCUCAAAGGUCUGCUCAGCUUACUGACGUAUCUAUGCAAACCUCUUUGUUCAUAACAGUGAAGUGAGGUUCUACAAGAAGCCUUCCAGAGCCGUUUUGCUGUAAAGUAUAGGAGGUGACAGCAACCGGCAGUGCAUUUCUAAGUCUUCAAUGAACAACUAAUGAAUAAGCUUACUCCAAACGAGCCUUUGCAAGUUGUAUCGAAGAGAGUUAUAAUAUACUCUUUGAAGACCCCGUCGCAAGAUAGACAUUACAAUAACUCUAGCGUCUCUACAACUCUGCAAAGGGGAUUAACCCUACCUCUGUAUACUACGGUUUAACCUUGGUGCAUUCUCCAUUAGCGAUAUGUUAGACUGUCGAAGAGCACUAAACGAGCUCUAACCAGGAUUUGACAAAGCACGGUUUCUUAUUUACCAUUCUUAAGCUUCAACCUUAACAUUCUCACAAUACACUGCCGAGCUCAACACGAACUCAUGAACAACACGACUGAUCACAUAAGACGUGUCUGGGACAUCUUAGUAAACGAGAACAGUAUUGUUACAGGUUCGGU
Molecule: ribosomal RNA, 1267 nt
Filed under: Enteromyxum leei
Lineage: Eukaryota; Metazoa; Cnidaria; Myxozoa; Bivalvulida; Enteromyxidae
Description: rns
Source: RNAcentral